CCUACGGGAGGCAGCAGUGGGGAAUAUUGCACAAUGGGGGAAACCCUGAUGCAGCGACGCCGCGUGAGUGAAGAAGUAUUUCGGUAUGUAAAGCUCUAUCAGCAGGGAAGAAAAUGACGGUACCUGAUUAAGAAGCCCCGGCUAACUACGUGCCAGCAGCCGCGGUACUACGUAGGGGGCAAGCGUUAUCCGGAUUUACUGGGUGUAAAGGGAGCGUAGACGGUGAUGCAAGUCAGAAGUGAAAGCCCGGGGCUCAACCCCGGGACUGCUUUUGAAACUGUGUGACUGGAGGGCAGGAGAGGUAAGCGGAAUUCCUGGUGUAGCGGUGAAAUGCGUAGAUAUCAGGAGGAACACCAGUGGCGAAGGCGGCUUACUGGACUGUAACUGACGUUGAGGCUCGAAGGCGUGGGGAGCAAACAGGAUUAGAUACCCCAGUAGUC
Molecule: ribosomal RNA, 440 nt
Filed under: uncultured bacterium
Lineage: Bacteria
Description: partial 16S ribosomal RNA
Rfam family: Bacterial small subunit ribosomal RNA
Source: RNAcentral